This 74-nucleotide transfer RNA is filed under the name bacterium. Its description in RNAcentral is "tRNA-Gln". It matches the Rfam family "tRNA". From Rfam's summary of the family: Transfer RNA (tRNA) molecules are approximately 80 nucleotides in length. Their secondary structure includes four short double-helical elements and three loops (D, anti-codon, and T loops). RNAcentral also lists the same sequence under 3 other names. The record is from RNAcentral.
UCCGAGAUCGUCUAGUGGCAGGACAGCAGAUUCUGGAUCUGCUUACCUAGGUUCGAAUCCUAGUCUCGGAACCA